This 453-nucleotide ribosomal RNA is filed under the name uncultured bacterium. RNAcentral's name for it is "bacterial SSU rRNA". It matches the Rfam family "Bacterial small subunit ribosomal RNA", at positions 340 to 784 of the family's 1533-position model. The record is from RNAcentral.
UACGGGAGGCAGCAGUGGGGAAUAUUGCACAAUGGGCGCAAGCCUGAUGCAGCCAUGCCGCGUGUAUGAAAAAGGCCUUCGGGUUGUAAAGUACUUUCAGUCGUGAGGAAGGUGUUAAGGUUAAUAACCUUAGCAAUUGACGUUAGCGACAGAAGAAGCACCGGCUAACUCCGUGCCAGCAGCCGCGGUAAUACGGAGGGUGCGAGCGUUAAUCGGAAUUACUGGGCGUAAAGGGCACGCAGGCGGUUAAUUAAGUUGGAUGUGAAAUCCCCGGGCUUAACCUGGGAAUGGCAUUCAAGACUGGUUAGCUAGAGUCUUGUAGAGGGGGUUAGAAUUCCAUGUGUAGCGGUGAAAUGCGUAGAGAUGUGGAGGAAUACCGGUGGCGAAGGCGGCCCCUGGACAAAGACUGACGCUCAUGUGCGAAAGCGUGGGGAGCAAACGAGGGAUUAGAUA